This is an RNA transcript of Arachis stenosperma, 1578 nucleotides long. RefSeq lists it as uncharacterized. The transcript has 6 exons. Lineage: Eukaryota; Viridiplantae; Streptophyta; Magnoliopsida; Fabales; Fabaceae. The record is from RefSeq and is a predicted model, not a curated record.
AAAUUGAAUAAUUGGAACUAGCACAACCCAUCUGUUGAGAUUGGUAAAGAUGUCAAUCACUGAAAUUAUGGAGAUUCAUGCAAACAAAUUUGAGCUGCAACCUGUUUGGUUUAGACUUCUGAUGUAUGGCAGCAUUGAUUAGAAAGUAAUAUUAAGAAAUUUGAAGCACCAGAGACCAUAGAGCAACGCAUUCUAGAAGCUGCUGUGCCUGGGGAGGCAAUCAGAUUUGCUGUUACAGCAUAUACACUGGGUAAUGCUGAUAGAGAAGCAAAAUCAGAUGAUUCCUCCAUCGUAAAUGUUGGAGAUAAUAGUGGUGGUAUUGCAAAAGAAGUGUCAAUACUUUGGCGUGCAAAUUUUGAGGAAUUUAUACGGCAUCUUAGGCAUAAGUUAUUGGUCGAGAAUGAAAGAAAGCGACUGGAUGAUGGAGCUGCAACUACCUUAAGUGCCAUAUUGGAUGUGACUAAAACUGUUGAGGAAAAAGUAAAAAUAGAGAAAUCAGUUCCCCUAUCACUGGAGUCCAUUUUUACUGAAGCGACGAAAACUGAACACGGUCGUACUAUGACCAUAGAUUGUGUUAGAGCUUCUCUAAUACAGUUGGGUUGUCCACAGAGGAACUUUGAUGAUUCAUAUAGUAUUGGUACUGUGACAUAUCUUUUCCUCAUGUUAGGCUAUUUUGUGCAAUAUAAACAUUCUCCUUUUGUUUUAUUUAUUUAUUUUUUCUCCAUUUGUUUAUGCCAAUGGAAUUCUCGUUUGUUAACUCUUUUUUAUAGUUUGAAGUUCCUUUACAGAUUUGAGAACCGUUGUUGAAAUGGCUAGAAAUGAGGAGGUUUUUAUAUCUGUCCUUUCCAAGUCAAUUAUAUAUGAGUAUUUAUGUUUCUACAUGUAGAACUCUUGUUUCUUGCGUUAUGUUGCAGGUUGAGUCAAUUGUGUUGAAAAGAUUUGGAAGUGAUGCGUACAGAAUAUUUAGGCUCCUGUCAAAGUCUAACUGUUUUCUUGAGACAGAUAAGGUUAUUAACUCUUAUUGGUAAAAGCAAAAAUUUAGAAAAUGAAAAAUAUUGUCCGAAUUUUUAUUUCUAUGCGAAAAGAAAAUUCAAAGCCCUGUAUAUCUAUGAUAUGGUACUAUUUAUGAAAAUAAAUGAGGUUGUAUGAAAGGAAUCUUUAGUUCUUUAUGGUUUAUUGAAAUGCAUUGAAGUAUUUUAUAAUCCCAUUUUAGCUUUCAAAAGAUGGUUUUUAUGGAAGCAUAACAAGGUAUGAUGUGCCAAAGCCCAAUUAAAGAGAUUGAUGAAUUGUCCUUUACUGUAAUCCUCUUAUAACCUUAUACCUAAUCUCUUUUCUUUGCAGAUAGCAGAGUCUGCUCUUGUUGAUAAAAAGGAAGCUCCUAGAUUACUAUACAAGUUAUGGAAGGAUAACUACUUGCAUAUGGAGAAAUUAGUUGUAACUGCAGCUAAGCAAUCGAGAUUUAUGUUGUGGAAAGUUAAUAAGCCUCUGCUUUGGGAAAUUGUGCUGGACGAGAUGUACCAUGCUGCCUUAAAUUUGAGCUUAAGAUUGGCUUUUAAGCAGGAAAAGGAUGAAGAUGUG